RNAcentral lists this ribosomal RNA (497 nucleotides) under uncultured bacterium. Its description in RNAcentral is "partial 16S ribosomal RNA". It matches the Rfam family "Bacterial small subunit ribosomal RNA", at positions 28 to 507 of the family's 1533-position model. The record is from RNAcentral.
GAUGAACGCUGGCGGCGUGCCUAAUACAUGCAAGUCGAGCGAACGGACGAGAAGCUUGCUUCUCUGAUGUUAUCGGCGGACGGGUGAGUAACACGUGGAUAACCUACCUAUCAGACUGGGAUAACUUCGGGAAACCGUAGCUAAUACCGGAUAAUAUUUUGAACCGCAUGGUUCCAAAGUGAAAGACGGUCUUGCUGUCACUUAUAGAUGGAUCCGCGCUGCAUUAGCUAGUUGGUAAGGUAACGGCUUACCAAGGCAACGAUGCAUAGCCGACCUGAGAGGGUGAACGGCCACACUGGAACAGAGACACGGUCCAGACACCUACGGGAGGAAGCAGUAGGGAAUCUUCCGCAAGGGGGGAAAGCGUGACGGAGCAACGCCGCGUGAGUGAUGAAGGUCUUCGGAUCGUAAAACUCUGUUAUUAGGGAAGAACAUAUGUGUAAGUAACUGUGCACAUAUUGACGGUACCUAAUCAGAAAGCCACGGCUAACUACGUG